CGGAGGGUGCAAGCGUUAUCCGGAUUCACUGGGUUUAAAGGGAGCGCAGGCGGACUGGUAAGUCAGUGGUGAAAUACCUGAGCUUAACUCGGGAACUGCCAUUGAUACUAUCAGUCUUGAAUGUUGUUGAGGUUUGCGGAAUGGGUCAUGUAGCGGUGAAAUGCAUAGAUAUGACCCGGAACACCUAUUGCGAAGGCAGCAGGCUAAACAAAUAUUGACGCUGAGGCUCGAAAGCGUGGGGAUCAAACAGGAUUAGAUACCCUGGUAGACCACGCCCUAAACGAUGAUUACUCGACAUACGCGAUACACUGUGUGUGUCUGAGCGAAAGCAUUAAGUAAUCCACCUGGGAAGUACGACCGCAAGGUUG
RNAcentral lists this ribosomal RNA (368 nucleotides) under uncultured organism. Its description in RNAcentral is "bacterial SSU rRNA". It matches the Rfam family "Bacterial small subunit ribosomal RNA", at positions 526 to 896 of the family's 1533-position model. The record is from RNAcentral.